GAUGAACGCUAGCUACAGGCUUAACACAUGCAAGUCGAGGGGAAACGAUAUUGGAAGCUUGCUUCCGAUAGGCGUCGACCGGCGCACGGGUGAGUAACGCGUAUCCAACCUGCCCACCACUUGGGGAUAACCUUGCGAAAGUAAGACUAAUACCCAAUGAUAUCUCUAGAAGACAUCUGAAGGAGAUUAAAGAUUUAUCGGUGAUGGAUGGGGAUGCGUCUGAUUAGCUUGUUGGCGGGGUAACGGCCCACCAAGGCGACGAUCAGUAGGGGUUCUGAGAGGAAGAUCCCCCACAUUGGAACUGGGACACGGUCCAAACUGCUACGGGAGGCAGCAGUGAGGAAUAUUGGUCAAUGGACGAGAGUCUGAACCAGCCAAGUAGCGUGCAGGAUGACGGCCCUAUGGGUUGUAAACUGCUUUUAUAAGGGAAUAAAGUGAGCCUCGUGAGGCUUUUUGCAUGUACCUUAUGAAUAAGGACCGGCUAAUUCCGUGCCAGCAGCCGCAGUAA
This 508-nucleotide ribosomal RNA is filed under the name uncultured bacterium. Its description in RNAcentral is "partial 16S ribosomal RNA". It matches the Rfam family "Bacterial small subunit ribosomal RNA", at positions 28 to 523 of the family's 1533-position model. The record is from RNAcentral.